RNAcentral lists this ribosomal RNA (329 nucleotides) under uncultured Butyrivibrio sp. RNAcentral's name for it is "bacterial SSU rRNA". It matches the Rfam family "Bacterial small subunit ribosomal RNA", at positions 28 to 339 of the family's 1533-position model. The record is from RNAcentral. Lineage: Bacteria; Bacillati; Bacillota; Clostridia; Lachnospirales; Lachnospiraceae.
GAUGAACGCUGGCGGCGUGCCUAACACAUGCAAGUCGAACGGGGCUGUUUGAAAGAUCUUUUCGGAGUGAUUUCUUACAGCUUAGUGGCGGACGGGUGAGUAACACGUGGGUAACCUGCCCUUCACUGGGGGGAUAACAGUUGGAAACGGCUGUUAAUACCGCAUAUGCGCACGGGACCGCAUGGUCCAGGGCGGAAAGAUUUAUCGGUGAAGGAUGGGCCCGCGUCGGAUUAACUUGUUGGUGAGGUAACGGCCCACCAAGGUGAUGAUCCGUAGCCGACCUGAGAGGGUGACCGGCCACAUUGGGACUGAGACACGGCCCAAACUCC